RNAcentral lists this ribosomal RNA (253 nucleotides) under uncultured bacterium. RNAcentral's name for it is "partial 16S ribosomal RNA". It matches the Rfam family "Bacterial small subunit ribosomal RNA", at positions 524 to 776 of the family's 1533-position model. The record is from RNAcentral.
UACGUAGGGUGCGAGCGUUGUCCGGAAUUAUUGGGCGUAAAGGGCUCGUAGGCGGUCUGUCGCGUCGGCUGUGAAAACCCGAGGCUCAACCUCGGGCCUGCAGUCGAUACGGGCAAACUAGAGUACUGCAGGGGAGACUGGAAUUCCUGGUGUAGCGGUGAAAUGCGCAGAUAUCAGGAGGGACACCGGUGGCGAAGGCGGGUCUCUGGGCAGUAACUGACGCUGAGGAGCGAAAGCGUGGGGAGCGAACAGG